RNAcentral lists this ribosomal RNA (256 nucleotides) under uncultured Stenotrophomonas sp. Its description in RNAcentral is "partial 16S ribosomal RNA". It matches the Rfam family "Bacterial small subunit ribosomal RNA", at positions 99 to 354 of the family's 1533-position model. The record is from RNAcentral. Lineage: Bacteria; Pseudomonadati; Pseudomonadota; Gammaproteobacteria; Lysobacterales; Lysobacteraceae.
CGGACGGGUGAGGAAUACAUCGGAAUCUACUCUGUCGUGGGGGAGUAACGUAGGGAAACUUACGCUAAUACCGCAUACGACCUACGGGUGAAAGCAGGGGAGUCUUCGGACCUUGCGCGAUUGAAUGAGCCGAUGUCGGAUUAGCUAGUUGGCGGGGUAAAUGCUCACCAAGGCGACGAUCCGUAGCUGGUCUGAGAGGAUGAUCAGCCACACUGGAACUGAGACACGGUCCAGACUCCUACGGGAGGCAGCAGAG